RNAcentral lists this ribosomal RNA (271 nucleotides) under uncultured bacterium. Its description in RNAcentral is "partial small subunit ribosomal RNA". It matches the Rfam family "Bacterial small subunit ribosomal RNA", at positions 26 to 285 of the family's 1533-position model. The record is from RNAcentral.
AGAAUCAACGCUGGCGGCGUGCCUAACACAUGCAAGUCGAACGCGAAAGUCCCGCAAGGGAUGAGUAGAGUGGCAAACGGGUGAGUAACACGUGGGUGACCUGCCCUCGAGCGGGGGAUAACGGUCCCGAAAGGGACGCUAAUACCGCAUGACAUCCUGCCUUUGAACAGGUGGAGAUCAAAGCUGGGGAUCGCAAGACCUAGCACUCGGGGAGGGCCCGCGCCUGAUUAGCUAGUUGGUGGGGUAACGCUCACCAAGGCUUCGAUCAGUA